UGAGUUCACUUAAUGAAUGCUCGUUCAUAUUUGUAUAGGUAAUAAAGGAAUUCCGAGAUGAUGAGAUUGAGCAUCAUGACACAGGAUUGGAGCAUGAUGCUGAAUCGGUUCCUGGAUACUGGAUAUUUAAAAAUGCAAUUCAGCUUGGCUGCAAAGCUGCAAUAUAUGCUUCUCAGCGAAUCUAACAUUGUGAUUGGAAUAAUGGACUUUCUUUGGACAAUAUUUGAUAUGUUGACCCAGUAUAUAUAAAUGGUUUGAAUUUGAUUGUUCUACUUUGCAAGAUACAAACAUUCAAAGCAACCUAGAUAAAUCAUAAUGUCAAAUCAUGUCUACAAUGUAUAAGACAUGGACAGUUUAAUUAAGUGUGUUGGUUAAUAAGCUGCAUUCAGACCAAAUUGUCAUUGGUUGGUACAAUCGCUGGUGUUACUUUCAUAAGUAGAAAAGAGACUCAUAACAUAAUUUUGUGGGUGUGGGAUUGUAAAUGUGUGCAAGAGAGAAAGACAAAAAGAGACAAAGCUCAUGUCUUUAAAGAAGUGGUAAUUGUUUUGCUGCUUUUACAAAACAAUACAAUAUCCAAUAAAGAACACCAUUUGUAAUAA
Notothenia coriiceps (black rockcod) is the source of this 599-nucleotide long non-coding RNA. RefSeq lists it as uncharacterized. NCBI's taxonomy places the organism in Eukaryota, Metazoa, Chordata, Actinopteri, Perciformes, Nototheniidae. The record is from RefSeq and is a predicted model, not a curated record. The transcript has 2 exons.